UCGACGGUGAUCUCGGUGCUUGCACCGGGUGAUCAGUGGCGAACGGGUGAGUAACACGUGAGCAACCUGCCCCCGACCCUGGGAUAACCCCGAGAAAUCGGAGCUAAUACCGGAUACGAGACGCACAGGCAUCUGUAGCGUCUGGAAAGAUUCAUCGGUCAGGGAUGGGCUCGCGGCCUAUCAGCUAGUUGGUGAGGUAGUGGCUCACCAAGGCGACGACGGGUAGCCGGCCUGAGAGGGCGACCGGCCACACUGGGACUGAGACACGGCCCAGACUCCUACGGGAGGCAGCAGUGGGGAAUAUUGCACAAUGGGCGCAAGCCUGAUGCAGCGACGCCGCGUGGGGGAUGAAGGCCUUCGGGUUGUAAACCCCUUUCAGCAGGGAAGAAGCGAAAGUGACGGUACCUGCAGAAGAAGCGCCGGCUAACUACGUGCCAGCAGCCGCGGUAAUACGUAGGGCGCAAGCGUUGUCCGGAUUUAUUGGGCGUAAAGAGCUCGUAGGCGGUUUGUCGCGUCUGCUGUGAAAACCCGAGGCUCAACCUCGGGCCUGCAGUGGGUACGGGCAGACUAGAGUGCGGUAGGGGAGACUGGAAUUCCUGGUGUAGCGGUGGAAUGCGCAGAUAUCAGGAGGAACACCGAUGGCGAAGGCAGGUCUCUGGGCCGCAACUGACGCUGAGGAGCGAAAGCAUGGGGAGCGAACAGGAUUAGAUACCCUGGUAGUCCAUGCCGUAAACGUUGGGCACUAGGUGUGGGGCUCAUUCCACG
This 765-nucleotide ribosomal RNA is filed under the name uncultured bacterium. RNAcentral describes it as "bacterial SSU rRNA". It matches the Rfam family "Bacterial small subunit ribosomal RNA", at positions 62 to 845 of the family's 1533-position model. The record is from RNAcentral.